GUGGGGAAUUUUGGACAAUGGGGGCAACCCUGAUCCAGCAAUGCCGCGUGCAGGAAGAAGGCCUUCGGGUUGUAAACUGCUUUUGUACGGAACGAAACGGUCCUGGUUAAUACCUGGGGCUAAUGACGGUACCGUAAGAAUAAGCACCGGCUAACUACGUGCCAGCAGCCGCGGUAAUACGUAGGGUGCAAGCGUUAAUCGGAAUUACUGGGCGUAAAGCGUGCGCAGGCGGUUUUGUAAGACAGGCGUGAAAUCCCCGGGCUCAACCUGGGAAUUGCGCUUGUGACUGCAGUGCUGGAGUACGGCAGAGGGGGAUGGAAUUCCGCGUGUAGCAGUGAAAUGCGUAGAUAUGCGGAGGAACACCGAUGGCGAAGGCAAUCCCCGGGGCCUGCACUGACGCUCAUGCACGAAAGCGUGGGGAGCAAACAGGAUUAGAUACCCCGGUAGUCC
This 450-nucleotide ribosomal RNA is filed under the name uncultured bacterium. RNAcentral's name for it is "partial 16S ribosomal RNA". It matches the Rfam family "Bacterial small subunit ribosomal RNA", at positions 354 to 796 of the family's 1533-position model. The record is from RNAcentral.